AAAUUAAAUUUUAUUAAAUGUUUAGCUUAUUCUCCAGCACAACUAUUAUUUUAAAACUUACGGCAUUCCUGUAACAUAUGCACUCCGAUUUUCUUAAUUAAGUGAGUGAUUUAAUUUUCCUCUUCGCUAUUAACUUUUUUUAAUUUCAUCACGACAUUUUAUCGAGAAUAAUUGAGCGCAAUUACACGCGCCGAUGGCCGGAUUUUAUUUUCAUCACGGGUCCGAAUUGAGCUUAAUUUGUAUUAAGCUUAAAAAAAAAAAAAAGGGCAGAAUUGUAUAACUGGAAAAGGGGGGAAACGGGUUUGUAUUUUUUUGAGAGAGAAUACCCGAGAGAGAGGGAGAGAGAGAGAGAGAGAGAGAGAGAGCUGGACUUGUUAACCCGAAAACCCGACCCGAUUCUGCGAUAUUGACCCGACGAGUUCUCCCGUUUCCGGCCACCUUACCGGCCGUGCUUGGUACCGAUCUGAAGCUUGGAAGCUGACCGUCGUAUCCCCGUGGUCCUCGUCGCCGGAAACUGGCCAGAACGUCGGCGAUUGGAGCUCGAAAGUCGCGGCCAACAUCCUUUUCCGUCGCCGUUGAUUCCGCCGGGUUUGUGACGCGCCACCACUUGGAACUGGUUCUUCACAUCUUCAGCAACAAUUUUCGACCAACCACGAUCACCAGGGAGGCCGGAAAACCGCCGAACGAUCACCGGAAACUUGCGGAUCUUUGGAGCUUCGAUCCGCCGCCGGUAGCGCGCGUGGCGACUCACGGCCACCACCAUUGCACUCACCGAGGUCGGAACUAGCAGACCUAAGCUCCCCGUCAUCGUUGACUGAAGUCCGGUCACCGUUGACCGGCAGGGGCAAUUCGGUAAAUUCAUGAAACUUUGGGGUGAAUUUGUAAUUUUAUGUAAUCAGUGGACAUUUUGGUAAUUUUGAGUGAGAGCAGUGAAGUAAUUUAUGCUUUCGAGGGUAAUUCGGUAAUUUAAGACGUUAAGGACAUUUCGGUAAUUUUAUGCCCUGAGGGUAAUUUCGUAAUUUCGGACAAUGCGAUUAAUUUAUGUAAUCUGAAUUGAGGACAAUCUGGUAAUUGACGAAUAUGAGGAUAAUUUGGUAAAAUAAUGAAGUUUGAGGAUAAGUUGGUAAAAUAUUGGUGUUGGGGGUAUUUUGGUAAUUUUACUCAUGUGGGAAUAGUUUAUCGUUAAUAGGAUUCGAGAUUUAUUAUAUUAAAUUGGUUGUAUUUCUAUUUACAGAGAAUAAUUAUAGUGUUUCCGUGAUUAGGAGGAUCCGCAUCCGCGAACGAGAAUCAACCCGCGGACGUUGUUGAUACCGAGUCUAGACAUCAUCACUGUGAGUGGAAUAUACAAAACCUAUUUUCAUAGUAUAUGCUGAUUUUAUGAUAAGUAUUUAAUGCUUCGAUUAAAUGAUUUUCCGGUAAAUUAAUUUUUAUCUAUGUGUCGGUCUUUAUUGUUAUUGAGAAUGAGUUUGAUUAAUGAUUUUAUUAGCGUUUUUUAGUAAAGGCAUGAUAUUAGAAUUGAGCAGAUUUUGAGAUAUGUUGAAUAGAAAGAAAAUGAGAUUUCAUAUGAGAUUCUAUGUUUAUGUAUAUAUUAUUUUUGAAAUCAUUUGAAAUCAUUAGACAGUACCCUUCCCUCCAGAUACAGAGAAACAGAUAAUAUGAGAUCAGAAAAGAGAUACAGAUAAGAUGAGAUAGAGGCCUUUGGGGCCCGUCGGGACACACAUAGAGGCUUUGGGCCGUGUGUUCGGGCGCUUUUGCCUUUUGGGGGCUUAUGCAUGCACAGUACAGAUAUAUGAGAUAUGAGAUGAGAUCGUCCCCAUCUAUCCGUUGUGGCUCCGAGGCGUGACGUUACCCAGAUAGUACGUCAUUGCCCGUCCGUCGAGGUCCGGAUAUGAUCAGAUUAUUCCCUGGGUACUUGUUUGAUGACAGUUUUUAGUAUUCAGUAUUUGAUAUGAUGAGUAUUAUAUGAUUCCAUCGAUUUUAUGCAAAUAUAUGUAUUAUAGUGUUUCAAUGAACUGAUUUGCAUUAAAUGAGUUUGAGCAAGUUCUUAUGAUAUUUUGAGAAAUUGAUUUAUGAAAUUGAUUUGAGGAAGUGAUUUGAGAAAGAUUAAAUGAUUUUAAAUAAAUUUAUUAAAUUGUCAGCAACUACUAUCCACUCACUGAGCUCACUGAGUUUUAUACUCACCCCUCUUUUAUUCUAUUUCCCCCCCCCACAGGAGAUUUACAGGUACAUCAGUCAACCCAGUAGCGAACGUUAGUGUGAUAUUGUGGCCACGUGAUGGUGCUAGGAGUCGUGGAUUUAAUUAUUAUUAUAUUUGAGAUUUUUUGCAAGCUGUGUUUAUUUAUUAUUUUAUGUUAUUAAGGAUAAUCGAUGUAUUUUGAUAUGAGGAUGAUUUGGAUGAUGUUUGAUAUAUUGAUUUGAGAAUUGGUUAUGGAGGAUGGUUGGAUAUUAAAUUAUUUGGGAGUGUUGCUUUAUAAUUUGCAGGAUUGGAUAUGUUUUAUUUAUAAGGGAGACUCUGCCGAAAUUUUUAUAGAAUAGUUUCGAUUUUACGAGUUUAGAUAGACUCGCCCUGGGGAGUUGCGGGGCGGGUCGUUUCAGUUGGUAUCAGAGCAUGGUUUUAGAUUCUGUAGACUUUACGGUCGUAAAUAGAAUAAGUUUUGAUUAUUAAAGUCGGAUUUAAUGUUUUGUAGGCACCAUUAUGAUUCGUCGUAGCAGUCGACGUGGCCGUGGUCGUGGCCGUACUAGAUUAGUAGCUGGGUUGACUUCAGGAGAUGUACCUGCGGGGGAAAAUGAUCCCGUUGACGAGGGAAUAGUUGAGUCUUCGACGCACGAGGUUGUGCAACAGGCACCAGGAAAUGCUCCGAACAUUGAGCAGUCCAUUGAUAGAUUAGCUUAGAUUGUGACUACAGUGGUUCAGAAUCAGGCUCAGCCGCAUGUCGGUCAAGUGAACACUGUCGAGCGUGUUCGAAGUUUAGGGGCAAAGAGUUUUAAUGGUUCUGGUGAUCCACCUGAGGCAGAGUCGUGGCUUAUCAAGUUAGAACAUAUUUUUGAUGUGAUGAGAUGCUCAGAGGAGGAUAGACUUUCAUUUGCCACUUUUCUGCUCAAGGAUAGGGCUUAUCAUUGGUGGCAAACAGUAGAGCGAAGAUACCAAGGGCAUGCUGCGCUUACAUGGGCUAUAUUUCGUAAGGAAUUCUACGAUCAUUAUUUUCCGGUUGUGUAUCAGGAUAUUAAGCGGAGUGAAUUCCUUCGAUUGGUUCAAGGAGCUAUGUCAGUGGAAGAGUAUGAGAAGAAAUUUUUGGAUCUUUCUAGAUUUGCCAUUUCAGCAGUUGGUGAUGAGAGGGAGAGAUGUAAGCGUUUUGAAGAGGGUCUCCGAUUUGAGAUUCGUACGACUGUGACGGCAUCAUGGUACACUGAGUUCAUUGAGGUAGUUGAGGCAGCUAAGAGAGUAGAGCACAGUAUCUCUGAGGGACGUAGAGUUCAGACUCUGAAGCAGAAACGUAGCCAGAGUUGGACAGAGGGUGGCUCGAGCAGCAGGCCGCCGAAGAGAGGCGCGUAUACAAAUUACUCUGCUGGUGUGCAAAGGAAUCAGAGUAUGAGUAGCAGGGGAGAUCAGAGACAAUCCGCCAGUUACAGUUCGGCGCAGCCUUCAAUGGGGAGUAAUGUUAGGACUCAGGGGCAGUAUGACAGGAAUAGCGGAGGACCCCGUAGGAGUAUACAACAGACUCCUUGCCCUACGUGUGGUAGGAACCAUCAGGGCCAAUGCCGUAUCGGAGACAAUGUGUGUUAUUUAUGUGGACAACCUGGACAUAUUAAGAGAUUCUGCCCUACUUUAUCUCAGGGUGACAGUUCUGCUCGAGGGGCAGCCCCACAGUAUCAAUCUCAUGUUGGACCAGUUCAGGGUCAGAGGGGUAUGCAGACAGGGGGUUCUAUAUCGAGGAGUCAGACCACUUUUCCAAGUCAGAGAGGUCAACCUGGUCGACCUCGUACUCAGGCUCGAGUUUUUGCCUCGACACAGCAGGAGGCUCAUGCUACACCAGAAGUUAUUAUGGGUACAUUAUCUAUCUUUGGUCAUGAUGCUCAUAUUCUUAUUGAUCCUGGAUCCACGCAUUCUUUUGUUUCUCACACAUUUAGUAUGCAUCUAGAGAGAGAGCCUGAAUUGCUGGAUUAUGGUUUAGUUGUUAGUACACCUACCGGAGGGUCAUUACUUGCUGAAAAGGUGUAUCGAGAUAGCAUGAUUCGAUUGGGCGAGCAUGAAUUUAAGGCGAAUUUGAUUAUUCUAGACAUUCAAGAUUUUGAUGCCAUUUUGGGCAUGGAUUGGCUUGUGUCUCACCAUGCUACAGUGGAUUGUUUUAAAAAGGAAGUUGUGUUCAAUAAACCAGGAGAAACUGAGGUGAAAUUUUGUGGUGAGCGUAGAAUUUUACCCUCAUGUGUCAUAUCAGUCAUUGAUGCAAGACGCUUACUAAGGAAAGGUUGCUCAGCUUAUCUGGCAUACGUAAUAGCCACUGGAGUUCGGGAGUUGAGAUUGGAGGAUAUUCCAGUAGUCCAAGAGUUUUCAGAUGUAUUUCCAGAUGAACUUCCGGGGAUGCCACCUCAUAGAGAGAUUGAGUUUUCUAUUGAUUUAGUCCUUGGGACGGCUCCUAUAUCUAUAGCACCGUAUAGGAUGGCUCCAGCUGAACUAAAGGAACUUAAGAUUCAACUGCAAGAAUUGGUGGAUAAAGAGUUUAUUAGACCUAGUGUAUCUCCGUGGGGAGCUCCGGUGUUGUUUGUUAAGAAAAAGGAUGGUACUCUUAGACUCUGCAUUGACUAUAGGCAGUUGAAUAAAGUUACAGUGCGUAAUAAAUAUCCACUUCCACGCAUCGAUGACUUGUUUGAUCAACUUCAGGGAGCAAAGGUGUUUUCUAAGAUCGAUUUGCGCUCGGGAUAUCAUCAGCUUAGAAUUAAAGAGGCCGAUGUUCCUAAAACAGCAUUCAGAACUCGUUAUGGACAUUAUGAGUUUUUAGUGAUGCCAUUUGGGUUGACUAAUGCCCCAGCGGCUUUCAUGGACCUUAUGAAUAGGGUAUUUCGCCAUUAUCUGGAUCGAUUUGUGAUUGUGUUUAUCGACGAUAUUUUGGUGUAUUCUCGAAGUCAGGAGGAACAUGAGGAGCACUUGCGGACUGUUUUGCAGACUUUAAGACAAAAGCAAUUGUACACUAAGUUCAGCAAGUGUGAGUUCUGGUUAGAUAAAGUAGUAUUUCUAGGCCAUGUGAUAUCAGCUGAAGGAAUUUAUGUUGAUCCUCAAAAGAUCGAAGCAGUUGUAAAUUGGGAACGACCUACAAAUGUGACUGAAGUUCGAAGUUUUCUUGGAUUAGCUGGCUAUUAUCGGAGAUUUGUGGAAGGAUUCUCCAAGAUUGCUAUUCCUCUGACAAGGUUAACCAGAAAGAAUGCUAAGUUCCAGUGGAAUGAUGAUUGUGAAAAGGGUUUUCAAGAACUCAAGGCAUGCCUUACUUCAGCACCAGUUCUUACACUUCCAUCGGGUAAUGAAGGGUUUGUAGUAUACAGUGAUGCAUCCAGGCAAGGAUUGGGUUGUGUGCUAAUGCAGUAUGGGAAAGUAGUGGCUUAUGCUUCAAGACAACUUAAGAAGCAUGAACAAAAUUACCCAACUCAUGAUUUAGAGCUAGCAGCAGUGGUGUUUGCACUCAAGAUAUGGAGGCAUUACUUGUAUGGAGCAACAUGUCAGAUUUUUACUGAUCACAAGAGCUUGAAGUAUUUGUUUACUCAGAAGGAGUUGAAUUUGAGACAGAGGAGAUGGAUUGAGCUGAUUAAAGACUAUGAUUGUACCAUUUAUUUUCAUCCGGGCAAAGCGAAUGUGGUAGCUGAUGCGCUAAGCAGGAAGUCUUUUAGCUCUAUAGCUCACUUGCGAGGGACAUACAUGCCGUUAUUGAUUGAGUUGAGAUCUUUGGGAGUUGAAUUGGAAGUUGAUAAUUGCAGAGCUUUAAUAGCUAAUUUUCGAGUGAGGCCGACUUUGAUUGACAAAGUUCAUCAGAUGCAAGAUCAGGAUUUGCAGUUACUGAAGUUGAAAGAGGAUGUGCAAAAAGGCUUACGAACUAAUUUUGCAGUGAGAGAUGAUGGAGUUUUAGUUAUGGAUAAUCGACUUUGCGUACCCGACAUUAAGGAGUUGAAAAAGGAGAUCAUGGAAGAAGCUCAUUGUUCAGCUUAUGCUAUGCAUCCUGGUAGUACGAAGAUGUACCGUACCUUGAGAGAUCAUUACUGGUGGCAAGGUAUGAAGAGAGAGAUAGCUGAAUUUGUAUCUCGGUGUUUAGUUUGUCAGCAGAUUAAAGCUGAACAUCAGAGACCUGCAGGGUUUUCUCAACCGCUUCCUAUCCCUGAGUGGAAAUGGGAGCACAUCACCAUGGAUUUUGUAACAGGACUUCCACGUACUCAGAGUGGUCAUGAUAGUGUAUGGGUAGUUGUUGAUCGACUUACCAAAUCUACUCACUUUUUACCGUUCAAGACCACUUAUUCGAUGGACAAGUUGGGGAAUAUUUUUGUGGCUGAGAUAGUUCGACUUCACGGAGCACCUGUGUCUAUUGUUUCAGAUAGAGAUUCCCGAUUUACUUCUAAGUUCUGGACAAGUUUGCAAAAGGCUUUAGGCACCAAGUUGAACUUCAGUACAGUUUUUCACCCACAGACUGAUGGUCAGUCAGAGCGUACUAUUCAAACCCUGGAGGAUAUGUUACGAGCUUGUAUUUUGGAGUUUAGGGGUAGUUGGGACAUUUAUUUACCCUUGAUGGAGUUUGCUUAUAAUAAUAGUUAUCAAGCUAGUAUCGAGAUGGCACCUUAUGAGGCCUUGUAUGGCAGGAAAUGCAGAACUCCCGUAUGUUGGGAUGAGGUUGGAGAGCGGAAACUUUUUGGUCCCGAAUUGGUUCAAAAUACUAGUGAGAAGAUACAGCUUAUUCGGGAAAGAUUAAAGGCAGCCCAGAGCAGACAAAAGAGCUAUGCAGAUAAGCGUAGGCGGGAACUUGAGUUUGAAGUAGGUGAUAAGGUUUUCAUACGGAUAUCUCCUUGGAAAGGGGUACUUCGAUUUGGUAAGCGCGGGAAGUUGAGUCCACGUUACAUUGGACCAUAUGAGAUUGUGGAGCGUAUUGGUCCGUUGGCAUAUCGAUUAGCUCUACCACCUGAGUUAUCCAGAAUCCACGAUGUCUUUCAUGUUUCGAUGCUCUGGAAGUAUGUGUAUGAUCCUAGUCAUGUGUUGUCGAGACAACCAAUUGAGUUGAAAGAAGACUUGAGUUAUGAAGAAGAGCCCGUGGAAAUUCUAGAACAGAAGCACCAAGUUUUGCGUUCAAGAACCAUUCCGCUAGUAAAAGUGUUGUGGAGGAAUCACACAAGAGAAGAGGCUACUUGGGAACGUGAAGACUUAAUGCGAGCUCAAUACCCUCACUUAUUCUCAACAGAUGUGUAAAUUUCGAGGACGAAAUUUUUAUAAGAGGGGAGGAUUGUAACAUAUGCACUCCGAUUUUCUUAAUUAAGUGAGUGAUUUCAUUUUCCUCUUCGCUAUCAAUUUUUUUUAAUUUCGUCACGACAUUUUAUCGAGAAUAAUUGAGCGCGAUUACACGCGCCGAUGGCCGGAUUUUAUUUUCAUCACGGGUCCGAAUUGAGCUUAAUUUGUAUUAAGCUUAAAAAAAAAAAAAAAGGGCAGAAUUGUAUAACUGGAAAAGGGGGGAAACAGGUUUGUAUUUUUUUGAGAGAGAAUACCCGAGAGAGAGGGAGAGAGAGAGAGAGAGAGAGAGCUGGACUUGUUAACCCGAAAACCCGACCCAAUUCCGCGAUAUUGACCCGACGAGUUCUCCCGUUUCCGGCCACCUUACCGGCCGUGCUUGGUACCGAUCUGAAGCUUGGAAGCUGACCGUCGUAUCCCCGUGGUCCUCGUCGCCGGAAACUGGCCAGAACGUCGGCGAUUGGAGCUCGAAAGUCGCGGCCAAGAUCCUUUUCCGUCGCCGUUGAUUCCGCCG
RNAcentral lists this long non-coding RNA (7985 nucleotides) under Citrus x clementina. RNAcentral describes it as "Citrus clementina (C. clementina) long non-coding RNA (CCLE_LNC005402)". Lineage: Eukaryota; Viridiplantae; Streptophyta; Magnoliopsida; Sapindales; Rutaceae. The record is from RNAcentral.